UUUGAUCCUGGCUCAGGACGAACGCUGGCGGCGUGCCUAAUACAUGCAAGUCGAACGAACUCUGGUAUUGAUUGGUGCUUGCAUCAUGAUUUACAUUUGAGUGAGUGGCGAACUGGUGAGUAACACGUGGGAAACCUGCCCAGAAGCGGGGGAUAACACCUGGAAACAGAUGCUAAUACCGCAUAACAACUUGGACCGCAUGGUCCGAGUUUGAAAGAUGGCUUCGGCUAUCACUUUUGGAUGGUCCCGCGGCGUAUUAGCUAGAUGGUGGGGUAACGGCUCACCAUGGCAAUGAUACGUAGCCGACCUGAGAGGGUAAUCGGCCACAUUGGGACUGAGACACGGCCCAAACUCCUACGGGAGGCAGCAGUAGGGAAUCUUCCACAAUGGACGAAAGUCUGAUGGAGCAACGCCGCGUGAGUGAAGAAGGGUUUCGGCUCGUAAAACUCUGUUGUUAAAGAAGAACAUAUCUGAGAGUAACUGUUCAGGUAUUGACGGUAUUUAACCAGAAAGCCACGGCUAACUACGUGCCAGCAGCCGCGGUAAUACGUAGGUGGCAAGCGUUGUCCGGAUUUAUUGGGCGUAAAGCGAGCGCAGGCGGUUUUUUAAGUCUGAUGUGAAAGCCUUCGGCUCAACCGAAGAAGUGCAUCGGAAACUGGGAAACUUGAGUGCAGAAGAGGACAGUGGACCUCCAUGUGUAGCGGUGAAAUGCGUAGAUAUAUGGAAGAACACCAGUGGCGAAGGCGGCUGUCUGGUCUGUAACUGACGCUGAGGCUCGAAAGUAUGGGUAGCAAACAGGAUUAGAUACCCUGGUAGUCCAUACCGUAAACGAUGAAUGCUAAGUGUUGGAGGGUUUCCGCCCUUCAGUGCUGCAGCUAACGCAUUAAGCAUUCCGCCUGGGGAGUACGGCCGCAAGGCUGAAACUCAAAGGAAUUGACGGGGGCCCGCACAAGCGGUGGAGCAUGUGGUUUAAUUCGAAGCUACGCGAAGAACCUUACCAGGUCUUGACAUACUAUGCAGAUCUAAGAGAUUAGACGUUCCCUUCGGGGACAUGGAUACAGGUGGUGCAUGGUUGUCGUCAGCUCGUGUCGUGAGAUGUUGGGUUAAGUCCCGCAACGAGCGCAACCCUUAUUAUCAGUUGCCAGCAUUAAGUUGGGCACUCUGGUGAGACUGCCGGUGACAAACCGGAGGAAGGUGGGGAUGACGUCAAAUCAUCAUGCCCCUUAUGACCUGGGCUACACACGUGCUACAAUGGAUGGUACAACGAGUUGCGAACUCGCGAGAGUAAGCUAAUCUCUUAAAGCCAUUCUCAGUUCGGAUUGUAGGCUGCAACUCGCCUACAUGAAGUCGGAAUCGCUAGUAAUCGCGGAUCAGCAUGCCGCGGUGAAUACGUUCCCGGGCCUUGUACACACCGCCCGUCACACCAUGAGAGUUUGUAACACCCAAAGUCGGUGGGGUAACCUUUUAGGAACCAGCCGCCUAAGGUGGGACAGAUGAUUAGGGUG
RNAcentral lists this ribosomal RNA (1505 nucleotides) under Lactiplantibacillus plantarum. RNAcentral's name for it is "partial 16S ribosomal RNA". It matches the Rfam family "Bacterial small subunit ribosomal RNA". Lineage: Bacteria; Bacillati; Bacillota; Bacilli; Lactobacillales; Lactobacillaceae. The record is from RNAcentral.